RNAcentral lists this ribosomal RNA (491 nucleotides) under uncultured bacterium. RNAcentral's name for it is "partial 16S ribosomal RNA". It matches the Rfam family "Bacterial small subunit ribosomal RNA", at positions 28 to 507 of the family's 1533-position model. The record is from RNAcentral.
GAUGAACGCUGGCUACAGGCUUAACACAUGCAAGUCGAGGGGAAACGACGGGGAAGCUUGCUUCCCCGGGCGUCGACCGGCGCACGGGUGAGUAACGCGUAUCCAACCUGCCUCUGACUGAGGGAUAACCCGUCGAAAGUCGGCCUAAUACCUCAUGGUAUCGUCUGCGGGCAUCCAACGACGAUUAAAGAUUUCAUCGGUCAGGGAUGGGGAUGCGUCUGAUUAGCUUGUUGGCGGGGUAACGGCCCACCAAGGCUACGAUCAGUAGGGGUUCUGAGAGGAAGGUCCCCCACAUUGGAACUGAGACACGGUCCAAACUCCUACGGGAGGCAGCAGUGAGGAAUAUUGGUCAAUGGGCGAGAGCCUGAACCAGCCAAGUAGCGUGCAGGAAGACGGCCCUAUGGGUUGUAAACUGCUUUUAUGCGGGGAUAAAGUGAGGGUCGUGUCCCUCAUUGCAGGUACCGCAUGAAUAAGGACCGGCUAAUUCCGUG